GCAACAGCAACAGCAGCA
This 18-nucleotide microRNA is filed under the name Corchorus olitorius. Its description in RNAcentral is "dme-miR-2491-". Lineage: Eukaryota; Viridiplantae; Streptophyta; Magnoliopsida; Malvales; Malvaceae. The record is from RNAcentral.